Molecule: long non-coding RNA, 466 nt
Organism: Achroia grisella
Lineage: Eukaryota; Metazoa; Arthropoda; Insecta; Lepidoptera; Pyralidae
Exons: 3
Source: RefSeq, a predicted model, not a curated record
UCAACUGACCGGCCGGCUCCGAGCAGUCAUUGUUUGCAUCAAACAAUGGAUGUACUGGGAGCCUGGAACGUCGGGAAUCUGCCUUUCGGAUCGCUUGCCAUAGUCCAGUUAUAUUGAAGUGUAGGUAAAUUGACAUGGCCGCGAAACCAGCGGUUCAACUCCAUUUGAAGAUACACUUUGUUCAAAGUUGGGACAUCGACUGUUUUAGCCAGCUGUGAAACUGUUUGGUUGUAAACUGUUUCGAUUGGAGGGCGUAUGGGAACAGCGGAUAAAGGAUAAAGAGGGAGUGGGGUGGCCAUAAAUUCAGAAGCGAGAUUCUUGUACACGUCACUUUGAAAUAAAGUUGUUGCUGCUUAGAAUAAAGCCUACGUUGAGAGCACUUGGAUGUAUACGACAGGGUUAUUGCUUUGGAGCGGCAAUGUUACCGCAGCAAUGUUAACCGUCAGGAUCAUCGAUAAACUGAACA